RNAcentral lists this ribosomal RNA (641 nucleotides) under Actinomycetospora sp. I14A-01100. Its description in RNAcentral is "bacterial SSU rRNA". It matches the Rfam family "Bacterial small subunit ribosomal RNA", at positions 98 to 741 of the family's 1533-position model. Lineage: Bacteria; Bacillati; Actinomycetota; Actinomycetes; Pseudonocardiales; Pseudonocardiaceae. The record is from RNAcentral.
GCGAACGGGUGAGUAACACGUGGGUGACCUGCCCUCCACUCUGGGAUAAGCCUGGGAAACCGGGUCUAAUACCGGAUAGGACUCCUGGAUGCAUGUCUGGGGGUGGAAAGUUUUUUCGGUGGGGGAUGGGCCCGCGGUCUAUCAGCUUGUUGGUGGGGUGAUGGCCUACCAAGGCGACGACGGAUAGCCGGCCUGAGAGGGUGAUCGGCCACACUGGGACUGAGACACGGCCCAGACUCCUACGGGAGGCAGCAGUGGGGAAUCUUGCGCAAUGGGCGGAAGCCUGACGCAGCAACGCCGCGUGGGGGAUGACGGCCUUCGGGUUGUAAACCUCUUUCGCGAUCGACGAAGGUCCGCUUUCUGUGGGCUGACGGUAGGUCGAGAAGAAGCACCGGCCAACUACGUGCCAGCAGCCGCGGUAAUACGUAGGGUGCGAGCGUUGUCCGGAAUUAUUGGGCGUAAAGAGCUCGUAGGCGGUGUGUCGCGUCGGCCGUGAAAACCUGGGGCUCAACUCUGGGCGUGCGGUCGAUACGGGCAUCACUUGAGUUCGGCAGGGGAGACUGGAAUUCCUGGUGUAGCGGUGAAAUGCGCAGAUAUCAGGAGGAACACCGGUGGCGAAGGCGGGUCUCUGGGCCGAUACU